Long non-coding RNA from Mirounga angustirostris (Northern elephant seal), 1536 nucleotides. RefSeq lists it as uncharacterized. Lineage: Eukaryota; Metazoa; Chordata; Mammalia; Carnivora; Phocidae. The record is from RefSeq and is a predicted model, not a curated record. The transcript is spliced from 5 exons.
GGGUAGGGGCUCCAGGUUAAUUCCUUAUCGAUGCAGAAUCGUCAGCUCAUUAAUCACAGAAGAGGUCAGAGCUUGGGGGUACAUAGCUCUAUCCCCCAAUCUAGAGCAGCAGCAGCUGUAAGCUUAGGGAAAGACACAAACCCCAAGCCUCUGUCCCUUUCUAGGGGCAGAGGGACCAAAACGACCAUCUCAGCCCCCUUGGCUUUUUUUCUAGUGACCCAACACCCCAGUAAUAGCUACUGCCUAGAUCCCCAGAUGGCCUCAGUAGAAACCCCCAGUUGUCCAAGGUGGAUUCUCACAUCGGGGACUGGAGACGGCACUUCACCAAAUCGUCAUCCCCAAGGCUGCCCACGGUCAGUGAGUAAUCUGCAUCCCAGGUGCUCAAAGCUGCAGGGAACUUAGUCCAAUGGAGAAGCCAGACAAAACAGGCCUGGCCCAGUGAGUGGAACUCAGAAGUCACUGAAACUUAGCUGCAGAGCUAUUUGUAAAAGGCGACACCAGAGGACCAGCCUUCUUGGUUGGGCCUGCAGCGGUCCCCUCCUGUGCCACCACCAAGACACAGCAAAGGGCUUUGGCAUUUAUCUCAAACACAGAGAAGGCAGCCAAGGGACGCCACACCUCCUGGCGGCCUCCUGAAGUUAAGGCCAGCCCCCACCAGCAGUGAUGGUGCAUUCCCAAUUGAGGAAGGUUCGAACAGCUUCUGCUGGGCCUCUGAUCCGCCCCUGGACUUGAAACUCCCUUCUGCUCCACCAGGUUUUACAGGCAUCCGUGGCUUCGCCAACUCAGCCAGCAGGCUCUGUGCAGGCAGGCACUGAGUGCGGCGUGUUUAUCACCGCCCCCUGCCCAGUGCCCAGCCCCGUAGCUGGCCCAUUCAGGCGUGCAGGAGGAACGUGCUGGAAUGAACAUGUGGCUGCAAAGUGAAGGAUGGAUCCAAGGAGAAAGAGCUAGCAUUCUUGCUCCCCAUUGCCCUUUCCAGAGUAAUAAAAGGACCGGCCCCCCCAGCAAGGGCCCCAACGGAUGCUGCCUCACUGGGUCCUGCAACCAUUCUCGGAGUUCGUUACUAUUGUUCCCAUUUUACAGAUGAGAAAACUAAAACAGAGAGAGAGGAAGUUCCUCUCCCCAAGACCAUGCAGCCAGGAAGCGGCAGAGCCAGCAUCCAUCUCUCUGGACCAGCACGGCACCCUGCUCUCACCUCCAGGACCUCACACGCGCUCCCUCGUGGGGAGCCCCCUGGCCAGUGUGCUGAAGCUCCAUGUUUAUGGCUUGGCUAAUGCCCACCCCACCUCCUGAGUCAGCUCACUGUUCACUUCCAGGAAGCCUCCCCUGAAGCCUCCCGCAACCCCUUCUCAUCCCCCACUCCCAAUCGCCAGACUGGGUUAGACGCCCCUCGGCCGUACCGCCACGGGGCCCACCAUCACCAUGUCUACGCUUGCCAUACUGCCGGGCAGUGUCCGUUAGGAACAGGGAGGAGGCUGCUGUAACAUGCAAGGCAAGAGAAGGCAAAGGCCUGAACCCCAACAGUGGAAGACAGGUAGG